Molecule: ribosomal RNA, 1105 nt
Filed under: Mycobacterium tuberculosis
Lineage: Bacteria; Bacillati; Actinomycetota; Actinomycetes; Mycobacteriales; Mycobacteriaceae
Description: bacterial SSU rRNA
Rfam family: Bacterial small subunit ribosomal RNA
Source: RNAcentral
GUCUUGUGGUGGAGGGAGCUUUAGCGGUGUGGGAUGAGCCCGCGGCCUAUCAGCUUGUUGGUGGGGUGACGGCCUACCAAGGCGACGACGGGUAGCCGGCCUGAGAGGGUGUCCGGCCACACUGGGACUGAGAUACGGCCCAGACUCCUACGGGAGGCAGCAGUGGGGAAUAUUGCACAAUGGGCGCAAGCCUGAUGCAGCGACGCCGCGUGGGGGAUGACGGCCUUCGGGUUGUAAACCUCUUUCACCAUCGACGAAGGUCCGGGUUCUCUCGGAUUGACGGUAGGUGGAGAAGAAGCACCGGCCAACUACGUGCCAGCAGCCGCGGUAAUACGUAGGGUGCGAGCGUUGUCCGGAAUUACUGGGCGUAAAGAGCUCGUAGGUGGUUUGUCGCGUUGUUCGUGAAAUCUCACGGCUUAACUGUGAGCGUGCGGGCGAUACGGGCAGACUAGAGUACUGCAGGGGAGACUGGAAUUCCUGGUGUAGCGGUGGAAUGCGCAGAUAUCAUGAGGAACACCGGUGGCGAAGGCGGGUCUCUGGGCAGUAACUGACGCUGAGGAGCGAAAGCGUGGGGAGCGAACAGGAUUAGAUACCCUGGUAGUCCACGCCGUAAACGGUGGGUACUAGGUGUGGGUUUCCUUCCUUGGGAUCCGUGCCGUAGCUAACGCAUUAAGUACCCCGCCUGGGGAGUACGGCCGCAAGGCUAAAACUCAAAGGAAUUGACGGGGGCCCGCACAAGCGGCGGAGCAUGUGGAUUAAUUCGAUGCAACGCGAAGAACCUUACCUGGGUUUGACAUGCACAGGACGCGUCUAGAGAUAGGCGUUCCCUUGUGGCCUGUGUGCAGGUGGUGCAUGGCUGUCGUCAGCUCGUGUCGUGAGAUGUUGGGUUAAGUCCCGCAACGAGCGCAACCCUUGUCUCAUGUUGCCAGCACGUAAUGGUGGGGACUCGUGAGAGACUGCCGGGGUCAACUCGGAGGAAGGUGGGGAUGACGUCAAGUCAUCAUGCCCCUUAUGUCCAGGGCUUCACACAUGCUACAAUGGCCGGUACAAAGGGCUGCGAUGCCGCGAGGUUAAGCGAAUCCUUAAAAGCCGGUCUCAGUUCGGA